UAUUGUAUUCAUCAAAAACAUUGUAUAUAUGGGAAAGAAGAGACUAAGUAAUUUAAGGUUACAGACUUUCAUGUAAGUAGAAGCUAUGCAAAUAUGCUUUUUUGUUCAUUGAAAAAUUGUCUUUGAUCUUUAGGUACAAAAGGGGUCAGUCUUUGUUUUCUUUUUUUUUCCUCAUAGAAAAUCAAAUCCAGGAAACAACCAAAAGGUAGAAUGGCUUUCUCCUUUCUAAUAAACAAAGUUUUCUUAGGGCUCUUCAUCUUGGCAGUAACUGGUUACACAGGUGAGCAAUUUUCUGAGUCCUUGGAGUGGAACCAUUGAUAUUUCAGAAACUUCUGUGGGGAACUAAUAUUUUCUGUUGCUUGAAAUAUAUUGUUCUUCUCUCUUUGAGUUCUAGUUUUAGAUCAAAAUGGGAAACUCUUUUAAAAGAUUUGAUUUGCCAAACAGAUAUUUUCAUCAAUGCCUUUAGCAAUGGAAGAAUUCAACCUGACUGCAAGCAGUUUGAAAAACUACCACCACACGUAUGUGACAAAAAUUAUGAUCCUGUCUGUUCUACAAAUGGCAAAACACAUCGCAAUGAAUGUGAAUUUUGCAAUGUUGUUAGGGACACCCUAGACACAGUUAAAUUUAAGCAUUAUGGUCACUGCUAUCAUGUUCUCUGAUUAUAUGGACCUGGGACCCACUGCACAGCUGUUGUUCUUCUCAUCUAAUGCCAGGAAGUGUAUAAUCACUGUUUCUGUUGCUUUUUACUCGAAUGUUGCAAGAAAUAUUGUUUGUUCUAUUUGUAUCUGUUAAAAUUAAAUAAUUUUAAACCCUGAA
This is an RNA transcript of Sarcophilus harrisii (Tasmanian devil), 816 nucleotides long. It is a transcript of the gene named ovomucoid, with no coding region annotated. The transcript has 4 exons. Lineage: Eukaryota; Metazoa; Chordata; Mammalia; Dasyuromorphia; Dasyuridae. The record is from RefSeq and is a predicted model, not a curated record.